Molecule: ribosomal RNA, 1180 nt
Filed under: Salmonella enterica subsp. enterica serovar Stanley
Lineage: Bacteria; Pseudomonadati; Pseudomonadota; Gammaproteobacteria; Enterobacterales; Enterobacteriaceae
Description: partial 23S ribosomal RNA
Rfam family: Bacterial large subunit ribosomal RNA
Source: RNAcentral
GGGUUGUGAGGUUAAGCGACUAAGCGUACACGGUGGAUGCCCUGGCAGUCAGAGGCGAUGAAGGGCGUGCUAAUCUGCGAUAAGCGCCGGUAAGGUGAUAUGAACCGUUAUAACCGGCGAUACCCGAAUGGGGAAACCCAGUGUGAUUCGUCACACUAUCAUUAACUGAAUCCAUAGGUUAAUGAGGCGAACCGGGGGAACUGAAACAUCUAAGUACCCCGAGGAAAAGAAAUCAACCGAGAUUCCCCCAGUAGCGGCGAGCGAACGGGGAGGAGCCCAGAGCCUGAAUCAGCAUGUGUGUUAGUGGAAGCGUCUGGAAAGUCGCGCGAUACAGGGUGACAGCCCCGUACACAAAAGCGCAUGUGUUGUGAGCUCGAUGAGUAGGGCGGGACACGUGGUAUCCUGUCUGAAUAUGGGGGGACCAUCCUCCAAGGCUAAAUACUCCUGACUGACCGAUAGUGAACCAGUACCGUGAGGGAAAGGCGAAAAGAACCCCGGCGAGGGGAGUGAAAAAGAACCUGAAACCGUGUACGUACAAGCAGUGGGAGCACAGGUUUACCUGUGUGACUGCGUACCUUUUGUAUAAUGGGUCAGCGACUUAUAUUCUGUAGCAAGGUUAACCGUAUAGGGGAGCCGGAGGGAAACCGAGUCUUAAUUGGGCGUUAAGUUGCAGGGUAUAGACCCGAAACCCGGUGAUCUAGCCAUGGGCAGGUUGAAGGUUGGGUAACACUAACUGGAGGACCGAACCGACUAAUGUUGAAAAAUUAGCGGAUGACCUGUGGCUGGGGGUGAAAGGCCAAUCAAACCGGGAGAUAGCUGGUUCUCCCCGAAAGCUAUUUAGGUAGCGCCUCGUGAAUUCAUCUCCGGGGGUAGAGCACUGUUUCGGCUAGGGGGCCAUCCCGGCUUACCAACCCGAUGCAAACUGCGAAUACCGGAGAAUGUUAUCACGGGAGACACACGGCGGGUGCUAACGUCCGUCGUGAAGAGGGAAACAACCCAGACCGCCAGCUAAGGUCCCAAAGUCAUGGUUAAGUGGGAAACGAUGUGGGAAGGCCCAGACAGCCAGGAUGUUGGCUUAGAAGCAGCCAUCAUUUAAAGAAAGCGUAAUAGCUCACUGGUCGAGUCGGCCUGCGCGGAAGAUGUAACGGGGCUAAACCAUGCACCGAAGCUGCGGCAGCGA